UAAUUAUUGAGUUUGAUGAUGGCUCUGAUUGAACGCUGUCCAAGUACUUGACACAUGCUAAUCGUACGACUUUAUUUAUUUUUUAAGUAAAGUAGUGGUGUACAGGUGAGUAAAUGAUAAUUUGGCUACCUUAAAGUAAGAGUAAAUCUCUUAUAAAAAAAAAGGAAAUCAAAAUUCUGCUUUAAGAUGUUAAUCUUUAUCUCGGUGAAGUAGUAGAAGAGGUAAUGUCUCUUUCUAGCUAACACUCGUAGUCGUGACUGAGAGGUCGAUCGACCACAUUGGGUCUGAAAAAACCCCAAUGCGUAUUAGUACAGCAGUGAGGAAUAUUGGUCAAUGGUCUAACGACUGAACCAGUAACUUGGAAGAAUGUAAAUGUAUUAUAACUAAUACAAUAACGAUUAAUUCGUAUAAAAUUCUAAAUAGGAUAAUGAUAAUGACAAUUUCCUAUUUAUAAGUCUUGACCAAAUUACGUGCCAGCAGUCGCGGUAAUACGUAGAAGACUAGUGUUAGUCAUCUUUAUUAGGUUUAAAGGGUACCUAGACGGUAAAUAACACUUGAGUAGAGUACUUAUUUACUAGAGUUUUAUGUGAGAAGGAAGAACUUCUGGAGUAGUGAUAAAAUACUUUGAUACCAGAGGGACUGGUAACGGCGAAGGCGUCCUUCUAUGUAAAAACUGACGUUGAGGGACGAAGGCUUGGGUAGCAAGAAGGAUUAGAUACCCUAGUAGUCAAGCAGAAAUGAUGAUGUCAUAGACUAGAUAACAAAUUAGUCUAUAAAUGAAAGUGUAAGCAU
This 792-nucleotide non-coding RNA is filed under the name Talaromyces stipitatus ATCC 10500. RNAcentral's name for it is "Bacterial small subunit ribosomal RNA". It matches the Rfam family "Bacterial small subunit ribosomal RNA", at positions 1 to 867 of the family's 1533-position model. Lineage: Eukaryota; Fungi; Ascomycota; Eurotiomycetes; Eurotiales; Trichocomaceae. The record is from Rfam by way of RNAcentral.